UACGUAGGUGACAAGCGUUGUCCGGAUUUACUGGGCGUAAAGAGCGCGCAGGCGGUCGUUCAAGUCGAGUGUGAAAGCCCCCGGCUCAACUGGGGAGGGUCACUCGAUACUGAUCGACUCGAAGGCAGGAGAGGGAAGUGGAAUUCCCGGUGUAGUGGUGAAAUGCGUAGAUAUCGGGAGGAACACCAGUGGCGAAGGCGGUUACCUGGAGCUUUGCUGACGCUGAUGCGCGAAAGCGUGGGGAGCGAUCCGG
RNAcentral lists this ribosomal RNA (253 nucleotides) under uncultured bacterium. RNAcentral's name for it is "partial 16S ribosomal RNA". It matches the Rfam family "Bacterial small subunit ribosomal RNA", at positions 524 to 776 of the family's 1533-position model. The record is from RNAcentral.